This 375-nucleotide ribosomal RNA is filed under the name uncultured organism. RNAcentral's name for it is "bacterial SSU rRNA". It matches the Rfam family "Bacterial small subunit ribosomal RNA", at positions 526 to 896 of the family's 1533-position model. The record is from RNAcentral.
CGAAGGGUGCUAGCGUUGUUCGGAAUCACUGGGCGUAAAGCGUGCGUAGGCGGCUUUGCAAGUCAGGGGUGAAAUCCCACAGCUCAACUGUGGAAUUGCCUCUGAAACUGCAUCGCUGGAGUGUCGGAGGGGAUAGCGGAAUUCCUAAUGUAGUGGUGAAAUACGUAGAUAUUAGGAGGAACACCGGUGGCGAAGGCGGCUAUCUGGACGACAACUGACGCUGAGGCAACGAAAGCGGUGGGGAUACAAACAGGAUUAGACUACCCUGGUAGUCCACGCUAGUAAACGAUGGAUGCUACGCCGUCGGGGGGUUACCUCUCGGUGGCGCAGCUAACGCGCUAAGCAUCCCGCCUGGGGAGUACGGUCGCAAGAUUA